Molecule: ribosomal RNA, 740 nt
Filed under: uncultured bacterium
Lineage: Bacteria
Description: bacterial SSU rRNA
Rfam family: Bacterial small subunit ribosomal RNA
Source: RNAcentral
ACGCUGGCGGGAGGCCUAACACAUGCAAGCCGAGCGGUGGAGAUUCUUCGGAAUCUUGAGAGCGGCGUACGGGUGCGGAACACGUGUGCAACCUGCCUUUAUCAGGGAGAUAGCCUUUCGAAAGGAAGAUUAAUAUCCCAUAAUAUUUUGAGUGGCAUCACUUAAAAUUGAAAGCUCCGGCGGAUAGAGAUGGGCACGCGCAAGAUUAGAUAGUUGGCGGGGUAACGGCCCACCAAGUCAAUGAUCUUUAGGGGGCCUGAGAGGGUGAUCCCCCACACUGGUACUGAGACACGGACCAGACUCCUACGGGAGGCAGCAGUGAGGAAUAUUGGACAAUGGGUGAGAGCCUGAUCCAGCCAUCCCGCGUGAAGGACGACGGCCCUAUGGGUUGUAAACUUCUUUUGUAUAGGGAUAAACCUACCCUCGUGAGGGUAGCUGAAGGUACUAUACGAAUAAGCACCGGCUAACUACGUGCCAGCAGCCGCGGUAAUACGUAGGGUGCAAGCGUUGUCCGGAAUUACUGGGCGUAAAGAGUUCGUAGGCGGUUUGUCGCGUCGUUUGUGAAAACCAGCAGCUCAACUGCUGGCUUGCAGGCGAUACGGGCAGACUUGAGUACUGCAGGGGAGACUGGAAUUCCUGGUGUAGCGGUGAAAUGCGCAGAUAUCAGGAGGAACACCGGUGGCGAAGGCGGGUCUCUGGGCAGUAACUGACGCUGAGGAACGAAAGCGUGGGUAGCGAAC